CCUACGGGCGGCUGCAGUGGGGAAUAUUGCACAAUGGGGGAAACCCUGAUGCAGCGACGCCGCGUGAAGGAAGAAGGAUUUCGGUAUGUAAACUUCUAUCAGCAGGGAAGAAAAUGACGGUACCUGACUAAGAAGCCCCGGCUAACUACGUGCCAGCAGCCGCGGUAAUACGUAGGGGGCAAGCGUUAUCCGGAUUUACUGGGUGUAAAGGGAGCGUAGGCGGCGAUGCAAGUCAGAAGUGAAAGCCCGGGGCUCAACUCCGGGACUGCUGUUGAAACUGUGUUGCUAGAUUGCAGGAGAGGUAAGUGGAAUUCGUGGUGUAGCGGUGAAAUGCUUAGAUAUCACGAAGAACUCCGAUUGCGAAGGCAGUUCACUGGACUGCAACUGACACUGAGGCUCGAAAGUGUGGGUAUCAAACAGGAUUAGAUACCCGAGUAGUC
This 440-nucleotide ribosomal RNA is filed under the name uncultured bacterium. Its description in RNAcentral is "partial 16S ribosomal RNA". It matches the Rfam family "Bacterial small subunit ribosomal RNA", at positions 338 to 795 of the family's 1533-position model. The record is from RNAcentral.